CCGCGUCUGAGAGCUGUCACGCUGCUAGAGGUGAAGGCUGGGGAAGGCCCAGCGGUGCUGAGCCCCUCGGCUUUGGGCAGCUGUGCGCAGUCCAGAAGCGUCUACGGAACUCCUGCUCUAGGUGACAGCACAACCAAAGCCACGGGACAUUUCCCGAUGGCUCUUAGUAAGCCGAAGUUCCUCGGAGUCAUGCAGACAGAGAAACUGAUUAAGCAGAGAAACGCUGAAAAUAAUUCUGCUAAAGCACUUCAAGAUGUCCACGCAAAGACUCUCUCCCCCUCAGCCCUUCUGAUGUUUCUGUUAGGUGAGGCUUGUGAUGAGGGGAGCCGGAGAGCAGCACGCUUUCACGUGGUAGCGUUCGGCAUUUUUACUGCUUCCUGCGCAGCAGAUGAGCAGACCGCUAUCCUUCGUGCCCUUGCAUGCCAGGAGACUGCUUGAAACGAGUAUGGAAAAGCUGGAGCGUUUUUAGCAGCGACUUUGACUCUAUAGGCAGCCUGAUGCCACGUGGAUGCAACAUGCCCUCGCUGUUUAAAGACUUUGAUUCGUUACUGGCAUUUUUUUUGCUUUCGUUAUACAGCUUAAGCAUCCGAGCUGCCCCAUGCAAGCACUUGGACGCUUUUGCAUGCGUGGUUAUUGCAGUACACCUGGAAUCAAGCUGAUGUUAACUGAAAUAGAUCAUUUUUUCCCAAUUAAAAGUUUUAUUUCCUUGUA
This is a long non-coding RNA of Oxyura jamaicensis (ruddy duck), 711 nucleotides long. RefSeq lists it as uncharacterized. The transcript is spliced from 2 exons. The record is from RefSeq and is a predicted model, not a curated record. NCBI's taxonomy places the organism in Eukaryota, Metazoa, Chordata, Aves, Anseriformes, Anatidae.